Vigna unguiculata (cowpea) is the source of this 735-nucleotide long non-coding RNA. The record is from RefSeq and is a predicted model, not a curated record. NCBI's taxonomy places the organism in Eukaryota, Viridiplantae, Streptophyta, Magnoliopsida, Fabales, Fabaceae.
AUUUCAUCUUCCUUUAUCUGAUUUCAUCUCUUUCGAAUUCCAUUUCAAUUUCGUCUACUUGCUUUCAUCGUUCAUUUCGUAGGAGUUGUGGCUCGUGCCCUUAGGGGAAGAUAUUCUCUCUUUCAAUUUCAUCGUUCUCUAUUAAAUAAGAUUCCCUUUUUUUUUUUCAGGUCGUCGUCGACUGCACGGUGAUCUUACCUCUCGCCGAACCUCCGUCGACUCUCCGUCGACUCCACCGCAGGCUGAUGAAGAAGCAAGGUUAAGGGAAGAAUUUGAGAAGCAGGUAGAAAGCUUCCUUCUAAAGAAGAGUCACAUGCUUUGAAUUCAAAUGUUAUUACUCCUGGAACUAAAUUUGUGGAUGUCUUGUCAAUUGCAUUUCAGUAAGUGUUGUUAAUGCGAGCAAUUCACUUCCCUUAACAUAUAUGAAUCGGUUUGUUACGAGGUUCAUUAAGUCUGCUAUUUUUUUUGGUAACGAGUACUCUAAUGAAGUAGCAGGACAAAUUCCUAUGACCUCUUAGUAAGAAAACCGGAAAGCAACAUCAAGAUCAUAUCAUGGAGUUUGAGGCAAAGCAAGUCUGCUCUAGAAAAGAAAAGCAUAGCAACUAAGGAUAAGAAAAUGUGGAGAUUAAAGAUAGGAGACGGAGGGAAGAGUCCAUACUUAUUCAACACAAACAAAUGCAGACUCUAAAAUUCACUUUAUUUAAUCUAUUUAUCCAUUACACUUAAGCCAUACAU